RNAcentral lists this ribosomal RNA (497 nucleotides) under uncultured bacterium. Its description in RNAcentral is "partial 16S ribosomal RNA". It matches the Rfam family "Bacterial small subunit ribosomal RNA", at positions 28 to 507 of the family's 1533-position model. The record is from RNAcentral.
GAUGAACGCUGGCGGCGUGCCUAAUACAUGCAAGUCGAGCGAACGGACGAGAAGCUUGCUCCUCUGAUGUUAGCGGCGGACGGGUGAGUAACACGUGGAUAACCUACCUAUAAGACUGGGAUAACUUCGGGAAACCGGAGCUAAUACCGGAUGAUAUUUUGAACCGCAUGGUUCAAAAGUGAAAGACGGUCUUGCUGUCACUUAUAGAUGGAUCCGCGCUGCAUUAGCUAUUUGGUAAGGUAACGGCUUACCAAGGCAACGAUGCAUAGCCGACCUGAGAGGGUGAUCGGCCACACUGGAACUGAGACACGGUCCAGACUCCUACGGGAGGCAGCAGUAGGGAAUCUUCCGCAAUGGGCGAAGGCCUGACGGAGCAACGCCGCGUGAGGGAUGAAGGUCUUCGGAUCGUAAAACUCUGUUAUUAGGGAAGAACAUAUGUGUAAGUAACUGUGCACAUCUUGACGGUACCUAAUCAGAAAGCCACGGCUAACUACGUG